This 575-nucleotide long non-coding RNA is filed under the name Pan troglodytes (chimpanzee). RNAcentral describes it as "lincRNA". The record is from RNAcentral. Lineage: Eukaryota; Metazoa; Chordata; Mammalia; Primates; Hominidae.
AGCCUUUUUCAAAAUGCCGGCGGUGGCAGGGAAGGUUGUUUGCUCCAGAGGCUUCCCUAGAGUGAAGAGCUCUACUAUGUAUGCUUUAUGCGGCAGAAGGAGUGCUUUGGAGGAGUUUUUAAAUUUCUGUUUUUUUUUUAAAUCUUAUCUCAUCGGUUUUAAUUGUAGCAAUGAUUCAAGAAACGUUAGUAGGUGCCCAUAACUUUGGUGGUGGAGAUCCAAAAGUGAACAAGACAGUGUUCUGGCUGCUAAAUUCUUCUUAACUGGUUAUGCCUGGAGACCUUCACUUGGUUCUGUGCCAGCACUGCCUAUGAACUUCAUAGACUGUGAUCUUUGCUAAGGCCUAAAUGAAUGAAGGUGCAGGACCGGAAGCAGAAGACAGAAAGUGGAGACCAAAUGUUUGAAGCUGGGUAAAGGCAGGGAUGGAGCAGGAACCGAGGAACAAACCUUGGAACUAGGUAAGUUUCCUGAGGCCUUCCCAGAAGUAGAAGCCUGCACAGUCCACAGAACUCUGAGUCAAUUAAACCUUUUUUCUUUAUAAAUUACCCAGUCUUAGGUAGUUCUUUAUAACAGUA